AUGGUGAUAUGGAUUCGUCUAUGCCGGUACUGUAUGAUCUCCAUUACACUGAGAGUAGCCCAUACCACAAACAACUCUCCUGAACCUGUCCACGCCCGUGGCGACUGUUUCAAGCCAUACAAAGAUUUCUUGAGCCUACACACCUUCCCAUCAGUCUGUUUGUUCCAAAACCUGGAGGAAUGUCCAUAUGGAUCUCUUCUUGUAAAUAACCACCAUGAAGAAAAGCAUUCUUCACAUCUAGCUGAUGUAAAGGCCACCCAAAGUAAGUUGACUGCGCAUGAGAUUAAGGUUCUCACCGUGUCCAUCUUUGCCACUGGUGCUUUGGUCUCAUCAUAG
Molecule: ribosomal RNA, 336 nt
Filed under: Triticum aestivum (bread wheat)
Lineage: Eukaryota; Viridiplantae; Streptophyta; Magnoliopsida; Poales; Poaceae
Description: partial small subunit ribosomal RNA
Source: RNAcentral